CUGUGUGGUAUCAGGUCUGUUUGUGCCCAAUACAUUUUCGCACCCUACACAUUCGCACAUUCACACUCUACUCAUUCGUGCCCAAUUUUAAUUCAAAUUCAAGUUGAAUAAUUGGAAAAUCAUGGUUGUUGUUUUAAAUUGCUUUGGUGUAAAUACUGAAUGUAUUUAUAGCUUGGUAUGAGUAAAACAUUGAAGAUUUUAAAGGAAAAAACACAAAAGAUAAUUGUUUUUAACAGCUUGGUCCCAUUGAUCUGAAACAACGAAACAAUAAAACAUAGAAACCAAAAUAUAGCAAUCCACUAAUAUAACCAAAACAUGAUAAAAUUUAUUCAACACACAGAAAACAAACAUAGUCAGAAUCUCACUUCAUUUUGAAACAAGUCAAUGAAACAAGUUAUAGCAAUACACUAACCAAAACAUGAUUAAGAGUUAUUCAACACAAAAUAAAACGUUGACAAAAUACCACUUUAUUUAGAAAGGAUUAUUAUUAUUUUUAGCAAUACCCUAUCCAAAACAUGAUUAAGAUUUAUUCAACACAAAAAAAAAAUUGCUGUCUCACUUUAUUUUGAGACAAUGACAACAAUUAUACUUAUAAGAAAACACUUGCUUACAGAGUUAUUAAACACAAAACCAAUUAAGAUUGGGUGCGAACAUGUAGGGUGUGAAAGUGAAAGGGGGUGAAAAUGAGUGGGCGCAAACGUGAAUGGAAGCGAACGGACCCGUAUUCAGACUAUGUACCAGUGAGAAAUAUACAAGCCUUUCUAUGGUAUUUAUUUGUACAAUUCAGCUAGUCUUGACCUAUUCAUUUGUCUUAAAAAACCAGCCAGUUGUCACCUUCACUUCACACACACACACAUAUACGAAUAUCAAUUAUAUGCUCACGAUACAUGUUGCAUUGUUAAACUAAUUACGGUAUGUGAAAAUCAAGACUUGCAUAAAAACUAUCCCAAUAUUAGAGACAGUGGCGUCAUUUUUCUUCAGAGCUUUCAGCUCUUUGAUUUAACAAUAUAUGUGCUCCUGGUUACAUGCAUGCGCUUGCGCAUGUACAAAAUGUAUGUAACCAGACAUUCUCGUUAUCAACAUCGACAUGAUGAUGUAAGGAAUCUUAUAUUAAUUGUUCAAACAAGAAAGGGGGGGGGGGAGCAAUACCUUUUUGUGUUAACCUGUUAUGGCCCUUUUCAAGGUGUUGUUAACUGUUAUCUGAGAUCAAUUUAAGCUGUUAACUGUUUUCAACCCACUUUGUUAACUGUUAUCAGCAUUUCUGCAUUUUUUGUUCACUGUUUUUGCCAAAAUCGAGGUGUUGUUAACAUGUUAACGGAUCCCCUAUUGCCCUCCCUCAAGAAGGGAUUUAAUUUAGUACGGCUUCGUGUCGGACCAUCGGAUUGUCGGAUUAACGGACUGUCGGACUAUCGAACUGUCGGACUGUCGGACUACUGGACUGUCGGAAUUUCGGGGUGUCGGAUUAUAGCUACG
This 1473-nucleotide long non-coding RNA is filed under the name Mytilus galloprovincialis (Mediterranean mussel). Lineage: Eukaryota; Metazoa; Mollusca; Bivalvia; Mytilida; Mytilidae. The record is from RNAcentral.